CUCCACCGAGAAUGUUGAGUGGCGAACGGGUGAGUAACACGUAGGUAACCUACCCAAAAGAGGGGGAUAACAUCUGGAAACAGGUGCUAAUACCGCAUAACAACAUUUAUCGCAUGAUAGAUGUUUGAAAGAUGGUUUCGGCUAUCACUUUUGGAUGGACCUGCGGCGUAUUAGUUAGUUGGUGAGGUAACGGCUCACCAAGACGAUGAUACGUAGCCGAACUGAGAGGUUGAUCGGCCACACUGGGACUGAGACACGGCCCAGACUCCUACGGGAGGCAGCAGUAGGGAAUCUUCCACAAUGGACGAAAGUCUGAUGGAGCAACGCCGCGUGAGUGAAGAAGGUUUUCGGAUCGUAAAACUCUGUUGUUGGAGAAGAAUGUAUCUGAUAGUAACUGAUCAGGUAGUGACGGUAUCCAACCAGAAAGCCACGGCUAACUACGUGCCAG
This 448-nucleotide ribosomal RNA is filed under the name uncultured Lactobacillus sp. RNAcentral's name for it is "bacterial SSU rRNA". It matches the Rfam family "Bacterial small subunit ribosomal RNA", at positions 76 to 511 of the family's 1533-position model. Lineage: Bacteria; Bacillati; Bacillota; Bacilli; Lactobacillales; Lactobacillaceae. The record is from RNAcentral.